Molecule: ribosomal RNA, 761 nt
Filed under: uncultured Stenotrophomonas sp.
Lineage: Bacteria; Pseudomonadati; Pseudomonadota; Gammaproteobacteria; Lysobacterales; Lysobacteraceae
Description: bacterial SSU rRNA
Rfam family: Bacterial small subunit ribosomal RNA
Source: RNAcentral
AGUGAAACGCUGGCGGUAGGCCUAACACAUGCAAAGUCGAAGGGCAGCACAGAGGAGCUUGCUCCUUGGGUGGCGAGUGGCGGACGGGUGAGGAAUACAUCGGAAUCUACUCUGUCGUGGGGGAUAACGUAGGGAAACUUACGCUAAUACCGCAUACGACCUACGGGUGAAAGCAGGGGAUCUUCGGACCUUGCGCGAUUGAAUGAGCCGAUGUCGGAUUAGCUAGUUGGCGGGGUAAAGGCCCACCAAGGCGACGAUCCGUAGCUGGUCUGAGAGGAUGAUCAGCCACACUGGAACUGAGACACGGUCCAGACUCCUACGGGAGGCAGCAGUGGGGAAUAUUGGACAAUGGGCGCAAGCCUGAUCCAGCCAUACCGCGUGGGUGAAGAAGGCCUUCGGGUUGUAAAGCCCUUUUGUUGGGAAAGAAAUCCAGCCGGCUAAUACCUGGUUGGGAUGACGGUACCCAAAGAAUAAGCACCGGCUAACUUCGUGCCAGCAGCCGCGGUAAUACGAAGGGUGCAAGCGUUACUCGGAAUUACUGGGCGUAAAGCGUGCGUAGGUGGUUAUUUAAGUCCGUUGUGAAAGCCCUGGGCUCAACCUGGGAACUGCAGUGGAUACUGGAUGACUAGAAUGUGGUAGAGGGUAGCGGAAUUCCUGGUGUAGCAGUGAAAUGCGUAGAGAUCAGGAGGAACAUCCAUGGCGAAGGCAGCUACCUGGACCAACAUUGACACUGAGGCACGAAAGCGUGGGGAGCAAACAGG